UUGGGCGUAAGGGUUUGUAGGCUACUUUUUAAGUCUGCUGUUAAAGAAUAAGACUUAACCUUAGAAAAGCAGUAUGAAACUAAAAGGAUAGAGUUCAGUAGGGGUAGAGGGAAUUCUCGGUGUAGUAGUGAAAUGCGUAGAUAUCGAGAGGAACACCAAUAGCGAAAGCACUCUACUAGGCUGUAACUGACGCUAAGAAACGAAAGCUAGGGGAGCCAAUGGGAUUAGAUACCCCAGUAGUCCUAGCUGUAAACGAUGGAUACUAAGUAUUGGAUAAUAAAAAAUUCAGUGCUGUAGCUAACGCGUUAAGUAUCCCGCCUGGGGAGUAUGCCCGCAAGGGUGAAACUCAAAGGAAUUGACGGGGGCCCGCACAAGCGGUGGAGCAUGUGGUUUAAUUCGAUGCAACGCGAAAAACCUUACCAGGAUUUGACAUCCCAUAUUUUUUUUCUAGAAAUAGAAGAAUUGACGUGGAGACAGGUGGUGCAUGGCUGUCGUCAGCUCGUGUCGUGAGAUGUUGGGUUAAGUCCCGUAACGAGCGCAACCCUUGUCUUUAGUUCGAUAGUCUAAAGAAACUGCCGAUAAUAAAUCGGAGGAAGGUGAGGAUGACGUCAAGUCAGCAUGCCCCUUAUAUUCUGGGCGACACACGUGCUACAAUGGUUAAGACAAUGGGAUGCAAACUUGUAAAAGGAAGCUAACCUCAAAAACUUAAUCGAAGUUCGGAUUGUCGACUGAAACUCGUCGACAUGAAGCUGGAAUCGCUAGUAAUCGCCGGUCAGCCACACGGCGGUGAAUACGUUCUCGGGCCUUGUACACACCGCCCGUCACGUUAGGGAAGCUGAUUAUGCCCGAAGUCAUUGAUUUAACCUUUUGGAGAAAAAUGCCGAAGGCAGAGUGAGUAACUAGAACGAAGUCGUAACAAGGUAGCCAUCUUGCUAGAARAWCUCSAGCCAUC
RNAcentral lists this ribosomal RNA (952 nucleotides) under uncultured eukaryote. RNAcentral describes it as "bacterial SSU rRNA". It matches the Rfam family "Bacterial small subunit ribosomal RNA", at positions 554 to 1533 of the family's 1533-position model. The record is from RNAcentral.